Molecule: long non-coding RNA, 1576 nt
Filed under: Rattus norvegicus (Norway rat)
Lineage: Eukaryota; Metazoa; Chordata; Mammalia; Rodentia; Muridae
Description: long non-coding RNA NONRATT030075
Source: RNAcentral
GCCAGGAGCCUUCAUUAGGACCCGGGCCUCUCACUUCUUCCUCCCAGUUCCUUCCUUCACGGCUUUUUGACCUUGGCCUUCAUGCUGAUGGAGCUUUCAACAGCUGGGCUUCCCAAGAGGGAUCAGAACACUCAGAUACCUUGCCAGUACCUUCACAGCAUCCAAAGAAAUUAAAAUGGCCUCCACAUGCUGGAUACCCUGCUAGCUACACCCUCAGCCUGGAUGCCCCCAACAGUGGUAACCAAGACAUGUCAGCCUGGUUCAAUCUAUUUGCAGACCUGGGGCCACUCUCAAACCCAGAUGCCAUUGGACACUCAGAUGACGAGCUUCUGAAUGCCUGACUGAUGUCAUGGUGACUGACAUCACAGCUUCAGGGGUCUUGAGGAACCAACUGUGCAACAUUUGCCUUUCUGAAGAGAAGUUCCCACUGCGACCACACACAGAAGCAUGUGUUCAGGAUAGAACGUCUACCAGCCAACUCUAGUCACAGGAUUGGAGCACCUGAGCAGGCUGUGGUACUUCAUAUGCUGGGUGGGCAGGCUGUUGAUAGUACAUGGAUAAUUUUACAAACUCCGCAAUACUGAGAAACCAAACUUACGGCUGAAUCACAGAAGCAUGGUGUGUUUCUUUGGAAGGUGUUUUACACUUGUUACUUUGCUUUAAGGGGAUAAAGAAUAGGAUAGAGUGGCUAUAGUUUGGGGGGUUUUCUUGAUAGUGUCAGGUGUUUUCUGUUGUGGGGACCAGCACUAGAACUAUAAAAAGCUUUCUCACCAAUUACAAUGUAGAACAAGAUUAGAGAACUGUCUGCUUUACUGAAAUUAAGAGAAACGUGGGUUUGCUUUUCUGUACCUGGUAACUAAAUGCAAUGUUACCGUUCAUUCAUAUGCAAUCAUGGAUACAUUAGUUCCAUUAUUAAAUUUUCAUGGGGAAGACAGCAGGAUGCAAAAGCCAUCAUCUGUAGAAAUGGGAAAAGGAAUCUACAGGUCUGUUUCACUGACUCUUGCAGUGCUACUUUCUCUACAGAACAGUGAGGACAAGCAUUGCAUGUCUGGGCAGCAAUCUUGCUGAAACUUCCAGAAACUUCUAUGUGAACAUGCAAGACACUUUCAAAUGCCAUCAUAAUAGUUGUAUUUUCUCAACACACACUUGAGCCCAGAAGGAUUUCUGAUAGACAUGGAGGAUUCUACAGAAAGCUAAGGAGCAUCCCAUGUUCUUCCUUUCAGUCUAACUCCCACAGUGCCAUUAGAGAGUACUAAGCAAAAGCUAUUGGCAGAGGACAUAGAGUCUAGGGUUUGAAGGGAAGGCUAUUCAGUGGCAGUUGGGCAAACUGGCGAAAUCAUAACUGCUGGAUUGCUACUCCUUCAGCUUCCUGUCCUUUCUUGUCCACCCUUUAAUUUAAGGGUAGUUCUCCAAGUGUUCUGUCAUCAAGUCCAUUGUGGCCAGUGUCCCACAGGGACAUCUUAAGUUGUUUAUUGUGGUUUUUAUGGGCUUCUAGUCAUUAGCAGGUUGAUUCAAGUUCAAAUUACAUAUAAUGUCCAAGUCAUGGUAUAUAGGGAGCUAUUUUUAAGAAAAAAAC